GCUGCAGCCACCAGUUCCUGGUUGCCAAGUGAUAGCAAUGUGCACAUUCCAAGCUCUGUGCUCCCUUGGAAACUGUUCAGAUAUGAACUACAGAUCAGGCAAUGGGAGCAAUGAGGAGGAGUCCAACAAGCAUCCUUUUCCUUUGGUUCCCGCUAGCCGCUGACCUCCAGAGAGUUCUCUAUAAGAGUUAUGCUUCUUUAUGUCCACCAAACGCCUGACUAGAAUGCUGUGAGUUACUCGUGCUCCGAGCUCCUGUGGCUAGAGUCAGAAGCUAAUUUCACCGCCAUGCCUUUCUUAGGAAACAGUGGUUUCCACUGACUCCAGGAGGUCCACAAGACUCCAGGAGACUUGUCCACUUCGCGCCCGGCCUUCAGCUCUGCACAUCACUUGACUUCAGGAGAGGCAGGCCUUAAGGAAUCCUGAUGCUCUGCUUCUGAAAGUACACCCUUUCCAGGGCUCCAUUACUGAAGAUAUGGAACACUUCACGAACUUGCGUGCCAUCCUUGCGCAGGGGCCAUGCUAAUCUUCUCUGUAUCGUUCCAAUUUUAGUGUAUGUGUUGCCGAAGCGAGCACAGAUCAUAACUCUUACAGAGCUGUGAAAACAACUACACUAGAAUUGGAGAGCUCACCCCCUGAAUGCUGCCUUUUCCACUUCGUCCACUCUGCAGGGCACUGCACAGCUGCCAAGCUUCCAGACCAGAGCAGCCUGGGAAAGGCCUGGCAGGUGGCAUGGCUGUGAUAGUUUUGGAAACUAACAGCCCACAUCAAUGGUGAAAAAUCAUCCUGACAGCCUGCAUGUGCACAUGGGGAGAAACGUCCUUCAAGGCCUAGGAAGUAACAUUAUUCGUCUUAUCCGGUCAUAAUAAGGAAAGAUUCAAGCCAGAUGUGGUGGUGAUUUGCAGUAGCCAAGGGUGGAAUCGUUGUGAUAACAGCACAUUAGCAUGAAGCCAUAUAUCUAUCAACAGCUCUGGGCAGAGCACAGCCAUUGGCAUUGGCAGGCACAGCUUCCCCACAUUUGAUCUUGGCAUUUGAAAUCCCUCAGACCCCAGCUGGGCUUCCAAACCCUUCCAGGAGGGCUCCUCAAAAAGUGUCUAGCCCUGGCUCCACUCACAGGGCAGGACAGGGCAGGGCAGGGACCCUGCUUCUCACUUGGCUGCACAUUUGAGGCAAGCGGGGAGGCAGGAAGAGCAGAGGCCCAGAAAAGCCAGGCUCAGCAGGGGCUGUAGGAGCACGGUCCA
Long non-coding RNA from Mastomys coucha (southern multimammate mouse), 1238 nucleotides. RefSeq lists it as uncharacterized. The transcript has 7 exons. The record is from RefSeq and is a predicted model, not a curated record. Lineage: Eukaryota; Metazoa; Chordata; Mammalia; Rodentia; Muridae.